Long non-coding RNA from Ornithodoros turicata, 100 nucleotides. RefSeq lists it as uncharacterized. The transcript has 3 exons. The record is from RefSeq and is a predicted model, not a curated record. NCBI's taxonomy places the organism in Eukaryota, Metazoa, Arthropoda, Arachnida, Ixodida, Argasidae.
GUUGCCACAUCUACAGAUUUAUUUUUUGACCAGUCAAAGUAAAAGCCAAACUGAGAGACUCCUGAUUGGACGAAAGGAAACCAUGGAGGAAACUAGCACG